UGACCAGCAGUGAGGCCUUUAGUGGAAUGAGGUCAGCUGGUCAGUGGCACUGGUCAGCAUGUGAUGUGUGAGUGUCAGAAGUGUCACAUGUCAGUCCUGUUCACCCUGUCCAUUAUGUCACUGAUCACACAGUCAGUCCAGUCUUUGUCACAAUAGACAGACAGAGUGUCCUCAUCGACUAAGUGGUCUGACAUCAGGUGAGCCCACCAUGACAGACACUCGAGUGUCGCGCUCUCCGAUGUCCAGCAGUGACCGGCGUGUCAAACAGGAAUCUGUGGAUGGGGUCCUGCAAAUCAGUCAAAGCCCCUCCAUGUGCUGAGUCCUCAGUUACAGACACAAAUCCAAGGUGGUCCCUCCGCUGUCAUCGGCUCUGACAAGUCUGUCUGGACCCUCGAGUGCAGGACACUGUCAGCCUCAUGUCCUUCACAUUGUGUCCACAUGUCACUUUGAGUGACUUGUCACCAGUCAGAGUGGCAGGAAGGCAGAAGACGCUGUCAGGUAUAUAGCGCCUUACCUUAUAAGGACAGCGGUGAUCUCAGGGUCAAAGUGCAUUUCAGUGAAGGCGUCGCAGUCAUUGAGCCCUUGUGCUGUGUGUGUCCUUCUGUCUGUCUGUCUGUCCUCACUUGUCUCUCUUCUUCUCCACAGGUUGGAGUCUUGUGGUCUCACCUCGGCCUGCUGCUCAGCUCUCUCCUCGGUCCUCUCGUCUCCAAACUCACAGCUGACUGCACUGAACCUGAUCAACAACAACCUGGGAGAUUCAGGGGCUCGUCAGCUGAUUGAGGGUCUCAGGAGUCACAACUGUAAAUUAACACACCUGUGGCUGCAGUACAACAGGAUCAGUCAGAGUAAGAAGACGUACCUGAGGUCACUACAGGUGGAGCUGAGGAGGUCUGGACGUCAGGUGGAUAUCUACAUAUGAAAAGACCAGCAGUGGUGAUGAGACUGACCCCCUGUCAGUGAUGAAGCCCCCCGUCCACUCUCCCCUAAAUUCUCCUCUUUCUUCUUUUUCUUCUCCUCUCAGCUCUGCUCCUCAUUUAAUAAACUCUCCGUGUCCCCUCA
Long non-coding RNA from Polypterus senegalus (gray bichir), 1059 nucleotides. RefSeq lists it as uncharacterized. The record is from RefSeq and is a predicted model, not a curated record. NCBI's taxonomy places the organism in Eukaryota, Metazoa, Chordata, Cladistia, Polypteriformes, Polypteridae. The transcript is spliced from 2 exons.